UUGAUUUUUUAAUACUAUAUUUCGUUGGCAAUGGUGUGAUUAUGGUGAAUAUAGUGUUAUGGGACUGCAAGUUUCUGCUUUACGUUUUAGUUUGCCCCAGGGGCGGUUCUAGACCCUUUUAAGUGGGGCUCCAGCCACCCUGCCGUCAUCUUAGCCCCCCUAAAAUUAGUCUUAAUAUUUCUACCAAACUAUCAAAUAUAUUUUUCUGAAGUUUUAUUUAUUUGUAAAAACAAUUAAUUCGAAGAUAAUUAUUAAAAAAAACGCAAAAUGCAAGACAUUUAGAAAAAAAUUACGAGUUUAUGAGGCAUUUGAUUAGCUUUGCUGUUCUGCGCAUGCGUCGUAACCGUCAGUGGAGGAGAGCUCGAGCGCCUGUGCUUCAGGUCACACAGAGGGAGCAGUUGUUUCAUAAAAUAUCCAGCGUGGAAGCUCAGAAGAUGGAUAUAUAACGUUUUUUAAAUGCUGGAAAGGAGAGCAAACAGGUGGAGAAAGAGUUAGAGAGACUGAAGAGGUCAGAGACAGGUGCAUUUAUAGUCCAUCAUGACAUAAAAAAUCCUCUGCAUGCAACCACGAGGAGAGGGGGAAUUUACUAAGGAGUUUUGUCUAUAUAUUAUAUAAAAUCUACUGUUGGGAAGAGCAGAACCUAAUCCAAAUAAAAAUAAACAAGCUGUUAAAAGCCAGUUGAAGGUGGUCAACACAAACCAAAUGAAGAUGUUGCACAUUCCACAAACAAUAAAAAAGAAGAUCAAGUUUUGUGUCCAACACACUUGGAUGAGACGUGCCCGACCCCUGACUUUGUCUACCCUACAUUAAGUUGUGAUGGCACACUUCAUGAAAGUAAACAUCGGUAUCAAGAU
Non-coding RNA from Paramisgurnus dabryanus, 854 nucleotides. NCBI's taxonomy places the organism in Eukaryota, Metazoa, Chordata, Actinopteri, Cypriniformes, Cobitidae. The record is from RefSeq and is a predicted model, not a curated record.